Molecule: long non-coding RNA, 617 nt
Organism: Hirundo rustica (Barn swallow)
Lineage: Eukaryota; Metazoa; Chordata; Aves; Passeriformes; Hirundinidae
Exons: 3
Source: RefSeq, a predicted model, not a curated record
UUCACAGAGGUAAGCAGUGCAGUUUUGAGCACAGAGCUCCGAGUAGUGAAGCCUUUUCACAGACAAUAUUCUAGUAGAUCUUUGUUAAAGUCACUUCUCUCCACGUGGCGUCAGUUUAAGAUUUACAUGCAAAGUGCAAGAAGGAGGGGAGGCGGCUGCCUGUUGUUGUUACCAAUCCAGCGCUGACUGCCUCUGCACUUCGCCGUGCUUGGUGUGAGCUGCACUCGUGCAGCUCUCCCGUAACCACCACAAUUUCCUGUUGCACUCAUUUGAAAAGACAGUGUUCCUGAGGAAGUUAUGAAGACGGCAAGAGACCAAAUGGCUCUGCUGCAAGAGGUCUAGAAAGCAGUUUGACAGAAAUGUUUGUGUGCCAUGUGCUGUUUGAACUCUCCAGCUGCUGAGAGCUUGCAGGGGUAACUGCAGUCAAAACCCAAAGAAGAACGCAGGGCCCUUUGCUCCAGGAUAGCAAUGUGCCAUCCAUCAUGCUGGGGAAGCAAAGGCAGCAGGAGGAGAAGACUUUCAGCACAAGUGGUCUGUUCCAUUCCUGAAGCAGCUGAAAAUGAAUUUUGAUUUGAGGUGUAAAACAAAUCCUGCACUUCUGUAUAACUGCUGAUGAA